UGCCAGCAGCCGCGGUAAUACGUAGGUGGCAAGCGUUGUCCGGAUUUAUUGGGCGUAAAGCGAGCGCAGGCGGUUUCUUAAGUCUGAUGUGAAAGCCCCCGGCUCAACCGGGGAGGGUCAUUGGAAACUGGGAGACUUGAGUGCAGAAGAGGAGAGUGGAAUUCCAUGUGUAGCGGUGAAAUGCGUAGAUAUAUGGAGGAACACCAGUGGCGAAGGCGGCUCUCUGGUCUGUAACUGACGCUGAGGCUCGAAAGCGUGGGGAGCGAACAGGAUUAGAUACCCUGGUAGUCCACGCCGUAAACGAUGAGUGCUAAGUGUUGGAGGGUUUCCGCCCUUCAGUGCUGCAGCAAACGCAUUAAGCACUCCGCCUGGGGAGU
This 377-nucleotide ribosomal RNA is filed under the name uncultured bacterium. RNAcentral describes it as "bacterial SSU rRNA". It matches the Rfam family "Bacterial small subunit ribosomal RNA", at positions 506 to 881 of the family's 1533-position model. The record is from RNAcentral.